Molecule: small RNA, 126 nt
Filed under: Marmota monax (woodchuck)
Lineage: Eukaryota; Metazoa; Chordata; Mammalia; Rodentia; Sciuridae
Source: RNAcentral
GCUGGGCACCGUGGCGCAUGCCUGUAAUCCCAGCAGUUCGGAGGCUGAGGCAGGAGGAUCAUGAGUUCAAAGCCAGCCUCAGCAUCUUAGUGAGGACCUAAGGAACUCAGUGAGACCCUAUCUCAA